UGGGGAAUAUUGCACAAUGGAGGGAACUCUGAUGCAGCAACGCCGCGUGCGGGAUGACGGCCUUCGGGUUGUAAACCGCUUUCAGCCAUGACGAAGCUUUUGUGACGGUAGUGGUAGAAGAAGCACCGGCUAACUACGUGCCAGCAGCCGCGGUGAUACGUAGGGUGCGGGCGUUGUCCGGAAUUAUGGGGCGUAAAGAGCUUGUAGGCGGUUUGUCGCGUCGAUAGUGUAAACACGCAGCUUAACUGUGUGCCUGCUGUCGAUACGGGCUGACUAGAGGAGGGGAGGGGAGAAUGGAAUUCCCGGUGGAGCGGUGGAAUGCGCAGAUAUCGGGAGGAACACCAGUGGCGAAGGCGGUUCUCUGGACCUUUCCUGACGCUGAGAAGCGAAAGCGUGGGUAGCAAACAGG
Molecule: ribosomal RNA, 409 nt
Filed under: Fusobacteriota bacterium
Lineage: Bacteria; Fusobacteriati; Fusobacteriota
Description: Fusobacteria bacterium partial 16S ribosomal RNA
Rfam family: Bacterial small subunit ribosomal RNA
Source: RNAcentral